UACGUAGGUGACCAGCGUUGUCCGGAUUUACUGGGCGUAAAGGGCGCGUAGGCGGCCACGCACGUCCGUUGUGAAAUCGCCCGGCUCAACUGGGCGGGGUCAGCGGAUACGGUGUGGCUCGAGCAAGCUAGGGGGCAAUGGAAUUCCCGGUGUAGUGGUGGAAUGCGUAGAUAUCGGGAGGAACACCAGUGGCGAAGGCGGUUGCCUGGAGCUUUGCUGACGCUGAGGCGCGAAAGCGUGGGGAGCGAUCCGG
Molecule: ribosomal RNA, 253 nt
Filed under: uncultured bacterium
Lineage: Bacteria
Description: partial 16S ribosomal RNA
Rfam family: Bacterial small subunit ribosomal RNA
Source: RNAcentral